RNAcentral lists this ribosomal RNA (271 nucleotides) under uncultured bacterium. Its description in RNAcentral is "partial 16S ribosomal RNA". It matches the Rfam family "Bacterial small subunit ribosomal RNA", at positions 524 to 794 of the family's 1533-position model. The record is from RNAcentral.
UACAGAGGGUGCAAGCGUUAAUCGGAAUUACUGGGCGUAAAGCGCACGUAGGCGGUUUUUUAAGUCAGAUGUGAAAGCCCCGGGCUCAACCUGGGAAUUGCAUUUGAAACUGGAAAACUAGAGUGUGUGAGAGGGGGGUAGAAUUCCAAGUGUAGCGGUGAAAUGCGUAGAUAUCGGGAGGAACACCAGUGGCGAAGGCGGCAUCCUGGCUCAUAACUGACGCUGAGUCGCGAAAGCGUGGGGAUCAAACAGGAUUAGAUACCCGUGUAGU